UUGCAAUAUGUCUAUUAUUUGUAUCAGUGUGUUAUCACGGAAGUAAUGGAUGAUGGUGACAAAUCAAGUGCUGGCGAUGAGAGUCGAUACAAAAAAUGUGUUUUCUGUAAUCAAAUCAUUGGAGCCAAAGAUGUUCCUAAGCUUUUACAAUGCUUACAUGCUACAUGCAACGCAUGUAUUACGGCCAAAUUUAAUGAAAUCGAGAAACCAGCGCCACCGGUUGUCAUUUGCCCGGUAAGU
This is a long non-coding RNA of Contarinia nasturtii (swede midge), 240 nucleotides long. RefSeq lists it as uncharacterized. The transcript is spliced from 2 exons. The record is from RefSeq and is a predicted model, not a curated record. NCBI's taxonomy places the organism in Eukaryota, Metazoa, Arthropoda, Insecta, Diptera, Cecidomyiidae.